This is a long non-coding RNA of Oncorhynchus tshawytscha (Chinook salmon), 364 nucleotides long. Lineage: Eukaryota; Metazoa; Chordata; Actinopteri; Salmoniformes; Salmonidae. The record is from Ensembl.
GGAGGCUAUAUACAGGGGGUACCGGUACAGAGUCAAUGUGGAGGCUAUAUACAGGGGUACUGGUACAGAGUCAAUGUGGAGGCUAUAUACAGGGGUACCAGUACAGAGUCAAUGUGGAGGCUAUAUACAUGGGUACUGGUACAGAGUCAAUGUGGAGGCUAUAUACAGGGGGUACCGGUACAGAGUCAAUGUGGAGGCUAUAUACAGGGGUACUGGUACAGAGUCAAUGUGGAGGCUAUAUACAGGGGGUACCGGUACAGAGUCAAUGUGGAGGCUAUAUACAGGAGGUACCGGUACAGAGUCAAUGUGGAGGCUAUAUACAGGGGGUACCGGUACAGAGUCAAUGUGGAGGCUAUAUACAGGG